Long non-coding RNA from Varanus komodoensis (Komodo dragon), 763 nucleotides. RefSeq lists it as uncharacterized. The transcript is spliced from 3 exons. The record is from RefSeq and is a predicted model, not a curated record. NCBI's taxonomy places the organism in Eukaryota, Metazoa, Chordata, Lepidosauria, Squamata, Varanidae.
GAAAGCCUGGUUAAUGCAAAUACACAUUUUGGCCUGGAUCUCUUCCAAAUGCUGAACAAGCAUGACCCAAAGGGCAGCAUCUUCUUUUCUGGAUUCAACAUUUCCUCCGCGCUUGCCAUGGUGCUCUUAAGGUCCAAGGGCAUCACUGCAGCUCAGCUCUCAAAGGCAUUUCACUUUGAUGAAGCUGAAGACCUUCAUUCGAGGUUCCAGGCACUUAGUAGUGAGAUGAACAGCAGCAGUCCCUACUAUGUACUGAAGAUGGCUAGCAGGUUGUUUGGAGAGAAGACCUGCUUCUUUUUGCAAGACUUCUUGACUAGGACUCACAACAUGUACGGAGCUGAGCUUUCAAGUGUGGAUUUCCUAAAUGCUCCCAACAGUGCACAGAACCAUAUCAACCAAUGGGCUGAGGAACAGACAGAAGGUGAAAUGUUUUUGGAAAACUCAUGCCUCAUGCAUGUAUCACCGUUGCUGGGUGCAAAGCAGAUAUGUGUAUAUGGACAAAUGUUAUUUCUUCAAUUUAUUUAUACUGCUUUCUAAUCUCACACAAGUUGAGGAAAUUCUGUAUACAUUUAUAUACUUUCCAGGAGUGCUGAAAGUUCACCAGACUUUCUGCCAUUAGCCAAGGCGAGGAAGGGUAUUCUAGAGGAUGGGUGCCACCACCAGGAAGGCCUGUUCAUGUGCUAGGACAUGGAGGCAGUGUUGUUGCACAGUGACUAUCCAGGUCUCCUUGAAUGAUCUCAGGCAUUGCCUGGGUUCAUCUAAG